RNAcentral lists this ribosomal RNA (496 nucleotides) under uncultured bacterium. RNAcentral describes it as "bacterial SSU rRNA". It matches the Rfam family "Bacterial small subunit ribosomal RNA", at positions 20 to 507 of the family's 1533-position model. The record is from RNAcentral.
UGGCUCAGAGUGAACGCUGGCGGCAGGCCUAAUACAUGCAAGUCGAACGGCAGCACAGCAGAGCUUGCUCUGUGGGUGGCGAGUGGCGGACGGUGAGGAAUACAUGGGAAUCUGCCCAGUCGUGGGGAUAACGUAGGGAAACUUACGCUAAUACCGCAUGCGCCCUUCGGGGGAAAGCCGGGGACCUUCGGGCCUGGCGCGAUUGGAUGAGCCCAUGUCGGAUUAGCUAGUUGGCGGGGUAAUGGCCCACCAAGGCGACGAUCCGUAGCUGGUCUGAGAGGAUGAUCAGCCACACUGGAACUGAGACACGGUCCAGACUCCUACGGGAGGCAGCAGUAGGGAAUAUUGGACAAUGGGCGCAAGCCUGAUCCAGCCAUGCCGCGUGAGUGAAGAAGGCCCUCGGGUUGUAAAGCUCUUUUGUCCGGAAAGAAAAGCGCCGGGUUAAUACCCUGGUGUCCUGACGGUACCGGAAGAAUAAGCACCGGCUAACUUCGUG